Molecule: non-coding RNA, 71 nt
Filed under: Bordetella sp.
Lineage: Bacteria; Pseudomonadati; Pseudomonadota; Betaproteobacteria; Burkholderiales; Alcaligenaceae
Also listed under: 1 other name
Description: Fluoride sequence
Rfam family: Fluoride riboswitch aptamer (crcB RNA motif)
Source: RNAcentral
UCACGCCCUGGAGAUGGUGUUCCUCCAUUAACCACCGCGCGCUAAACGCGGUUGAUGACGCCUACAGAAAC